This 496-nucleotide ribosomal RNA is filed under the name uncultured bacterium. Its description in RNAcentral is "bacterial SSU rRNA". It matches the Rfam family "Bacterial small subunit ribosomal RNA", at positions 28 to 508 of the family's 1533-position model. The record is from RNAcentral.
GAUGAACGCUAGCGGCAGGCUUAAUACAUGCAAGUUGAGGGGCAGCAUGAUAUACGCGAGUAUAUUGAUGGCGACCGGCGGACGGGUGAGUAAUAGGUAGGAGACCUACCUCAUACAGGGGGAUAGCAUAGAGAAAUCUGUGGUAAUACCCCAUGAGGUUAUAUGAAUAGAGGCAUAUAAUCAAAGCAUAAGCGAUUAUGCGGUAUGAGAGGGGCCUACUGACCAUUAGCUAGUUGGUGAGGUAAGGGCUCACCAAGGCGAAGAUGGUUAGGGGUUUUGAGAGAGAGACCCCCCACAUUGGAACUGAGAGACGGUCCAGACUCCUACGGGAGGCAGCAGUAGGGAAUAUUGGGCAAUGGGCGAAAGCCUGACCCAGCCAUGCCGCGUGAAGGAAGACGGCCUUAUGGGUUGUAAACUUCUUUAACUAGCGAAUAGAGGUUAGUACGAGAUACUAAUAGGAAGGUAGUGUAGUAAAAAGCACCGGCUAACUCCGUAG